CUUGAUCCCAUGCUGUGUUGAAGCUGGAUGGAUGCCCUAAUACCCCUGGGAGGGAGGUGCAGACCCCUUGAACUAGGCAGGGGUGUGGGUGCCCCUUACGGACCUCCCUGCAGCCUUCUAGCACCCCCAGCGGAUCCCCCGACCACCCUCACAGCAUCCUCUGGCCCUGUCUCAGUAAAACAAACACAAGCCAGCUCUUGAAUGCAUUUUAUUCUGAAAUAGUACAGAUGACAUCAGAUUCAGUUAGGGUAAACAGCAAGGCCCUGCUGGACGGCCCUGCAACCCACUUGGCUUCAGCAUCCCUGGAAGCUGAUGUGGCCUCACACUGCACCAAGGUUCUCCUCAUUGCAUGCAACGGGAGUGACCUCAUAGACCCCAAAUAUCCCUAAACCCUGUGCCAGGACCCUAAAAGCCCUGCCCAGAAGCUCUCACCAGCCCCCAAACCCUGCCUAACUGCCUCCAAAGAUCUGCAAACCUGCCCCAAGGCCCCAUAACACCCCAAAUCCUUCAGGGCCCCCAGAGACCAUCCUCCAAAUCCUGCUCCAUGGCCCACAACCCCUCGAUACCCUGCCCAAAUGCCCACCAGCCUGCCCCAGGGCCAUGAAACACCCUACACCCUGUUCCAGGCCUCCCUGAAGAUGCCCCCCCCGCCCAGUCCUGCCUGAUAGCUCACACCAAUGCCCAAACUCCCCCAGACUUGUCCCAUAACUCACCCCGACGCCCAAACACCCCCGAGCCUGCCCCGGGGCCCCAAGCCCGCAGACCUUGUCCCGAGGCCGGCACCGGCGGCGGCUGACAGGCAGGAUGGCUGCGGUCCCCCGGCUCCACUGCCCGGAGAGAGGGGCGGGACUGAGGGUUCCACCCUCUCCCCGCGGGACCAAUCGCUGAGCGGCUCCACGCGGGCCAAUGGAAGGUUCGGUCGGUUUGGCUCAGCCAAUCAGAUACCGCUCUUACUGCGCGUGCGCGGCUGCCGGACACUGGAGGGUGUUUCUAUUGGGUGUUAGGAAUUGCCUGCAGCGGGGGGGGGGGGCUGCAGUGACGUCACCGCAGCGUUCCGUUGCCGCGGCGACCGGAGGAGCGGACGGGGGCCGAGAGGGUCCCCGGCGGCCUGCGGCGCCGAGGGCAGGAGCCGCGGGCGUCUGUCAGCUAACAAAGACGAUGGAACAGCCUAUCCACAUAGGAGAGCUGAUAUAUGGCUUACCUCCAACAAUCAGUAUUACUGUGGUGUAUUGUGUUUCACUGGCAGCAAUAUAUUCAAGAAGAACAUGAGAACUCCUGCACUCCUGGAGACCACAGGAUCCAUGCUCUGGGCUGGUCAUUUUAGGCCUGGUCAUUUAGGUGCAGAGUAUUCUUUCUAGUCACAUGCCCUGCGUGAGCCUCUCCUUCAGCUGUUUUCCCAAGGUUUUGGAAAUGCUUCUGGUAAAUACUGCAGUUUCCAAAACUUUUCACUGUGUCCUUGCUGGUAUGGGAUACCAUUAUAGCAGGGAGAGGCAGCCUACGUAUGUGGAAGGAACAUUGUGGCACAGAGACAUUACCUCUUUGGCCCACCUAAUCCAUUUGAGAGUUUUAUUUUUGACCUGAAGAUUGGGUCUUUGAGUGCCAUACACAGCAUGCAUUGCUUUCCCCAUUCUUUUCACAAGAUCAUCGCCGUUCUUCAGUUGUUUCUUCUGAGGGGGGAGUUGCUGCAGGAACUGCUGGGGAGGCCCUGACAGUGGGACAUGAAAAAGACACCUUUGACUACAUCCAGCAGAAGAAGUUUAAGCCGAAGGAUCAGAGUAAAUAACUGCUUGUCUAGGCUUGUUUCCCAGCAACACAUUGUCAGAAUUUUUUUUAAUGAACAAUCCUACUUGAUCAAGUGCCUAUUCAUUCCGUGAAUAUUAGUGCAAAAACAUGUACAUUACCGAUCCUUUAAAGCAAGUCCAUGGCACUGGGGUAGCGUGCGUAGUGAAGACUAAAUCCCGUAAUAACUCAUUUUGAUGUUGUUCUCUUAAGUGAAAGCACUUAAGGCAGAUUAAAACAUUUAUCAUACUCUUUUGUUUGUUGAAUGGACCAUGAUACUAAGAAAAACCUGCAGUGAAGGAGACAUAGUAGCCAUUUUCCUUAGAGAAGGUGUCUUGUCCUGUACUUUAGGACUUACUGUGCAUUUUGAGAGAGAGUAGCAAAUGACAGGUCUCCUUUUAACCCCCGGGGAGCAGAAAGUUGUGACUUGAAGGCAAAAUGUUUCUUGCAGCUGGGUUAGAAGAAGCUGGCUACCAAUCAAAAGUAAUGACAAUUCUGUGGAGUCCCUGGAAGUUUUGAAAAGACCGUAUUUACCUUUUAUAAAAGGCUAUGCACUUUCAUUACUAAUGCCUGUAGUAAUCGAGCCAGGUAAGUGGUACAUAGGUGGUCGAGCCAUUAGUCUUUUUUCACAUAGUAAUAGCCUUUAGGCUGUGAUCACUGUUAGAAAAGUCCAGCUAUUUUAAAAAUGGAACAAGCCUUUUUAGCUUGUUUCCUGUAGUACCACAAAAGGUGAUCAGAAUACUAAUGUUUUCGUGCUUUAAUGUGGUAGACGUACUCUGUGCCAACAUCUCUUACUGUUUAAUAAUAAAAACUGAGCAGUCCAUCA
Molecule: long non-coding RNA, 2605 nt
Organism: Apteryx owenii (little spotted kiwi)
Lineage: Eukaryota; Metazoa; Chordata; Aves; Apterygiformes; Apterygidae
Source: Ensembl